This is a non-coding RNA of Podarcis lilfordi (Lilford's wall lizard), 74 nucleotides long. NCBI's taxonomy places the organism in Eukaryota, Metazoa, Chordata, Lepidosauria, Squamata, Lacertidae. The record is from the annotation of a GenBank genome assembly.
AUUAGGAUAGCUCAGUUGGUAGAGCAUGCGACUCAUAAUCUCAGGGUUAUGCGUUCGAGCCCCACGUUUUAAGG